CAGAAGCCAAAGAAGAAGACGGCACGCCAUCUUCGCCACCUCGCGCCAAGAGCGCUCUCAGCAACGCCACUUCUCACCGCAGCAGUGAGGCACAGCGCUUCAAAGGCAACGUGGCGUGGCUUGGUGCCGUGGUGGACAGCGUGGUGCGCAAACUGCGUACCGAGGUGCCGGAGUCCCGUGCUCGAGCAGAACGCGGCCUCGUCGAGGAGUUGUCAAUGUUGCAGAGGCGCCUGCAGCAGUGCGACUCUGUCGGCGAGUUCUUCGACACGCUGAGCAUAUGAAGAUAGCACUGCCUGCGCUGUUUUCUCGCAUCUCCUUAUCGACGUCAUUUGAUUUUGCUUCGCCUUUUUUUUCUCGUUGAUUACGAGUGCCGCUCGCGUUUCAGGUUGAAAUAAAUGAGAGCGCGAGAG
Molecule: long non-coding RNA, 410 nt
Organism: Dermacentor silvarum
Lineage: Eukaryota; Metazoa; Arthropoda; Arachnida; Ixodida; Ixodidae
Exons: 2
Source: RefSeq, a predicted model, not a curated record